GACGAACGCUGGCGGCGUGCUUAACACAUGCAAGUCGAACGGAAAGGCCCUGCUUUCGUGGGGUGCUCGAGUGGCGAACGGGUAAGUAACACGUGAGUAACCUGCCCUUGACUUUGGGAUAACUUCAGGAAACUGGGGCUAAUACCGGAUAGGAGCUCCUGCUGCAUGGUGGGGGUUGGAAAGUUUCGGCGGUUGGGGAUGGACUCGCGGCUUAUCAGCUUGUUGGUGGGGUAGUGGCUUACCAAGGCUUUGACGGGUAGCCGGCCUGAGAGGGUGACCGGCCACAUUGGGACUGAGAUACGGCCCAGACUCCUACGGGAGGCAGCAGUGGGGAAUAUUGCACAAUGGGCGGAAGCCUGAUGCAGCAACGCCGCGUGCGGGAUGACGGCCUUCGGGUUGUAAACCGCUUUCGCCUGUGACGAAGCGUGAGUGACGGUAAUGGGUAAAGAAGCACCGGCUAACUACGUG
This 468-nucleotide ribosomal RNA is filed under the name uncultured bacterium. Its description in RNAcentral is "partial 16S ribosomal RNA". It matches the Rfam family "Bacterial small subunit ribosomal RNA", at positions 28 to 507 of the family's 1533-position model. The record is from RNAcentral.